RNAcentral lists this ribosomal RNA (253 nucleotides) under uncultured bacterium. RNAcentral's name for it is "partial 16S ribosomal RNA". It matches the Rfam family "Bacterial small subunit ribosomal RNA", at positions 524 to 776 of the family's 1533-position model. The record is from RNAcentral.
UACGUAGGGUGCGAGCGUUAAUCGGAAUUACUGGGCGUAAAGCGUGCGCAGGCGGUUCGUUAAGACAGAUGUGAAAUCCCCGGGCUUAACCUGGGAACUGCAUUUGUGACUGGCGAGCUAGAGUAUGGCAGAGGGGGGUAGAAUUCCACGUGUAGCAGUGAAAUGCGUAGAGAUGGGGAGGAAUACCGAUGGCGAAGGCAGCCCCCUGGGCCAAUACUGACGCUCAUGCACGAAAGCGUGGGGAGCAAACAGG